This 834-nucleotide long non-coding RNA is filed under the name Setaria viridis. RNAcentral describes it as "long non-coding RNA (SVIR_LNC006212)". The record is from RNAcentral. Lineage: Eukaryota; Viridiplantae; Streptophyta; Magnoliopsida; Poales; Poaceae.
CUACUACUGGAGCACAACACAGAGACACUGAUGAUGCAUCGUCGUCUUCUUCAGUUAUUAAUAAGCUCGCUCCCUACGCAAACAUCAAACAACAGCUGGAAUCGUAAGUAGAUCAACACGACGCGACGCCUCCCUUCUGAAAGCGGAGGCCUCUGCUUUCAGAAUGGACGCUCUGUAUGCAGCACGGUGAAGGCCGGCGGCUUAUCAGUCGCAGCACAUCUCGCAGAUCCAGCAGCAGCACAGCGCCGCGAUGCUGAAAUCAAAACAUCAAGUAGUAAGUUUUAAUCGGAGAGAUCAACUGCAUGUAUAACUCCAAAAGAUUUCGACUACUUAUCGUAAAGUUUUAAUUUUUUAAUCAGUUGACAGAUUACCAUCCUUCGAUGAAUCCUUUCUCUCCGCGAGAGGUCGUCUUGCCCCGGCGCCCCUUCCGCCCUCCCUGCUGCUCUGCACCUGACGCGGUCGGGUAGCCUGCAUAUAUGCGUCCAAGCAUGGCACGACGAACGAGUUCAGAACCAAUCCAGCCAGAGACAACAAGCUAGGUGCCCAAGAAACUGUAGCCUCCUGUGUUGGCCAUAGCCCAUAUAAGUGAUUCAGAAACCUGACCUGGUGGUGGAGGCGGCUGGCUGUUGCUGUUGUUCUCCAUCCUUUCUUGCUUCUGAAGACUCUAGAGCAGGAUGAUGCACAUUCUACAACUCGUAGGUAAAGGUGGCUGUCUUGGUUGGGAUCUCAACGAGACAAGCUGCCCCUUAUAUAGCCUUUGCUGCAGGGCAGUGUGUUGGUUGCUGGUGCCUUCCUUGCCGCCCUGGUCUUUCUCUUACAGAUAAGACCUGUGAC